This 497-nucleotide ribosomal RNA is filed under the name uncultured bacterium. RNAcentral describes it as "partial 16S ribosomal RNA". It matches the Rfam family "Bacterial small subunit ribosomal RNA", at positions 28 to 507 of the family's 1533-position model. The record is from RNAcentral.
GAUGAACGCUGGCGGCGUGCCUAAUACAUGCAAGUCGAGCGAACAGACGAGGAGCUUGCUCCUCUGACGUUAGCGGCGGACGGGUAAGUAACACGUGGAUAACCUACCUAUAAGACUGGGAUAACUUCGGGAAACCGGAGCUAAUACCGGAUAAUAUAUUGAACCGCAUGGUUCAAUAGUGAAAGACGGUUUUGCUGUCACUUAUAGAUGGAUCCGCGCCGCAUUAGCUAGUUGGUAAGGUAACGGCUUACCAAGGCAACGAUGCGUAGCCGACCUGAGAGGGUGAUCGGCCACACUGGAACUGAGACACGGUCCAGACUCCUACGGGAGGCAGCAGUAGGGAAUCUUCCGCAAUGGGCGAAAGCCUGACGGAGCAACGCCGCGUGAGUGAUGAAGGUCUUCGGAUCGUAAAACUCUGAUAUUAGGGAAGAACAAAUGUGUAAGUAACUAUGCACGUCUUGACGGUACCUAAUCAGAAAGCCACGGCUAACUACGUG